Molecule: microRNA precursor, 117 nt
Filed under: Bigelowiella natans CCMP2755
Lineage: Eukaryota; Cercozoa; Chlorarachniophyceae
Description: miRNA EPrBNAG00000013424
Source: RNAcentral
UCAUAACAAUGAUGAUGAUGAUGAUGAUGAUGAUGAUGUCCUUAAUUUUUCUUGUGUAGUAUACAUUCAUCGUGGUGGUUAUCAUUAUCAUCAUCAUCAUCAUCAUCAUCAUCAUCA